Molecule: ribosomal RNA, 253 nt
Filed under: uncultured bacterium
Lineage: Bacteria
Description: partial 16S ribosomal RNA
Rfam family: Bacterial small subunit ribosomal RNA
Source: RNAcentral
UACGGAGGAUCCAAGCGUUAUCCGGAAUCAUUGGGUUUAAAGGGUCCGUAGGCGGUUUAGUAAGUCAGUGGUGAAAGCCCAUCGCUCAACGGUGGAACGGCCAUUGAUACUGCUAGACUUGAAUUAUUAGGAAGUAACUAGAAUAUGUAGUGUAGCGGUGAAAUGCCUAGAGAUUACAUGGAAUACCAAUUGCGAAGGCAGGUUACUACUAAUGGAUUGACGCUGAUGGACGAAAGCGUGGGUAGCGAACAGG